Molecule: non-coding RNA, 50 nt
Filed under: Stygamoeba regulata
Lineage: Eukaryota; Discosea; Stygamoebida
Source: RNAcentral
UUUGUUUUGUUUUUUUUUUUUUUUUUUUUUUUUUUGAUUGAAACUCGUCU